This 283-nucleotide long non-coding RNA is filed under the name Chinchilla lanigera (long-tailed chinchilla). RNAcentral's name for it is "lncRNA (ENSCLAG00000025829.1)". Lineage: Eukaryota; Metazoa; Chordata; Mammalia; Rodentia; Chinchillidae. The record is from RNAcentral.
AUUUGUCAUAGGGAUAGCGAUACGCAGACCUUGAAGAUGCAUUUUUAUGAGAACUGAAAAACUUAAAUCUUUUCGUGUAAAUAUUUUGGAAAGCUUCACAAUUUCCUCACUUUGCUGGACUUGUCUACUUGCUAUAAUUCCAGUGAAGCAUGCUGGGAAUACAGUAGGUGUCAGAACUCUGUAUAUCAGGAGUGUGAAAUACAAUGGUGAACCCUGAAGAGAUGUCUUCUGCCCUGUCUGAAUUUAAAAUCUAGUGGUGACCGGAGUGUGGUGACAUAUGCCU